RNAcentral lists this ribosomal RNA (497 nucleotides) under uncultured bacterium. RNAcentral's name for it is "partial 16S ribosomal RNA". It matches the Rfam family "Bacterial small subunit ribosomal RNA", at positions 28 to 507 of the family's 1533-position model. The record is from RNAcentral.
GAUGAACGCUGGCGGCGUGCCUAAUACAUGCAAGUCGAGCGAACAGACGAGGAGCUUGCUCCUCUGACGUUAGCGGCGGACGGGUGAGUAACACGUGGAUAACCUACCUAUAAGACUGGGAUAACUUCGGGAAACCUGAGCUAAUACCGGAUAAUAUAUUGAACCGCAUGGUUCAAUAGUGAAAGACGGUUUUGCUGUCACUUAUAGAUGGAUCCGCGCCGCAUUAGCUAGUUGGUAAGGUAACGGCUUACCAAGGCAACGAUGCGUAGCCGACCUGAGAGGGUGAUCGGCCACACUGGAACUGAGACACGGUCCAGACUCCUACGGGAGGCAGCAGUAGGGAAUCUUCCGCAAUGGGCGAAAGCCUGACGGAGCAACGCCGCGUGAGUGAUGAAGGUCUUCGGAUCGUAAAACUCUGUUAUUAGGGAAGAACAAAUGUGUAAGUAACUAUGCACGUCUUGACGGCACCUAAUCAGAAGGCCACGGCUAACUACGUG